UGUAAACGAUGUCGAUUUGGAGUUUGUUGCCUAGAGUGAUGGGCUCCGAAGCUAACGCGAUAAAUCGACCGCUGGGGAGUACGGCCGCAAGGUUAAAACUCAAAUGAAUUGACGGGGGCCCGCACAGCGGUGGAGCAUGUGGUUUAAUUCGAUGCAACGCGAAGAACCUUACCUGGUCUUGACAUCCAUAGAACUCUGCAGAGAUGUGGGAGUGCCUUCGGGAACUAUGAGACAGGUGCUGCAUGGCUGUCGUCAGCUCGUGUUGUGAAAUGUUGGGUUAAGUCCCGCAACGAGCGCAACCCUUAUUCUUUGUUGCCAGCGAUUUGGUCGGGAACUCAAAGGAGACUGCCGUUGAUAAAGCGGAGGAAGGUGGGGACGACGUCAAGUCAUCAUGGCCCUUACGACCAGGGCUACACACGUGCUACAAUGGCGUAUACAAAGGGAAGCGAAGGUGCGAGCUGGAGCGGAUCUCAUAAAGUACGUCUAAGUUCGGAUUGGAGUCUGCAACUCGACUCCAUGAAGUCGGAAUCGCUAGUAAUCGUAGACCAGAAUGCUACGGUGAAUACGUUCCCGGGCCUUGUACACACCGCCCGUCACACCAUGGGAGUGGGUUGCACCAGAAGUAGAUAGCUUAACCGCGAGGGGGGCGUUUACCACGGUGUGAUUCAUGACUGGGGUGAAGUCGUAACAAGGUAACCA
RNAcentral lists this ribosomal RNA (699 nucleotides) under uncultured Enterobacteriaceae bacterium. RNAcentral's name for it is "bacterial SSU rRNA". It matches the Rfam family "Bacterial small subunit ribosomal RNA", at positions 801 to 1502 of the family's 1533-position model. Lineage: Bacteria; Pseudomonadati; Pseudomonadota; Gammaproteobacteria; Enterobacterales; Enterobacteriaceae. The record is from RNAcentral.